AGUGAACGCUGGCGGUAGGCCUAACACAUGCAAGUCGAACGGCAGCACAGUAAGAGCUUGCUCUUACGGGUGGCGAGUGGCGGACGGGUGAGGAAUACAUCGGAAUCUACUUUUUCGUGGGGGAUAACGUAGGGAAACUUACGCUAAUACCGCAUACGACCUACGGGUGAAAGCAGGGGAUCUUCGGACCUUGCGCGAUUGAAUGAGCCGAUGUCGGAUUAGCUAGUUGGCGGGGUAAAGGCCCACCAGGGCGACGAUCCGUAGCUGGUCUGAGAGGAUGAUCAGCCACACUGGAACUGAGACACGGUCCAGACUCCUACGGGAGGCAGCAGUGGGGAAUAUUGGACAAUGGGCGCAAGCCUGAUCCAGCCAUACCGCGUGGGUGAAGAAGGCCUUCGGGUUGUAAAGCCCUUUUGUUGGGAAAGAAAGGCAGCAGGUUAAUACCCCGCUGUUCUGACGGUACCCAAAGAAUAAGCACCGGCUAACUUCGUG
Molecule: ribosomal RNA, 492 nt
Filed under: uncultured bacterium
Lineage: Bacteria
Description: partial 16S ribosomal RNA
Rfam family: Bacterial small subunit ribosomal RNA
Source: RNAcentral